AUAGCUUGUUUUGUGUUAUGUACAGCUGCUGUUGAAUUGUGUUAGUAUUGAUCUGUUACACAUUGUGGAUAAUCGUCUGUGAAAUCUGGGUGCUCGUGCCAUGGAGUUGUCAAUCACGAAUAUAACAGUGAACUCUUGGAUGUUUUGAAAUGAAGAAUGCAUGCAAUGUAAGGUGAUAUUGGUCGGCAUUGUGAAAGUAUGAUGUUCUCGUAUGGAGAGACACAGCCUUCAGAAGCUGUAGAGUCUAAGACCCAUACAUUCAAGACCCGGGUAUUCAGGAACCCCCAUAGCUGUGGUUUUUGUAAGGAGAUCAUAUGGAAUGAAGGCAGAAUCUGCAGAGUAUGUAGAUUUGCUUGCCAUAAAAAGUGUGAAUAUAAGGUAAGUG
Strongylocentrotus purpuratus (purple sea urchin) is the source of this 385-nucleotide long non-coding RNA. RefSeq lists it as uncharacterized. The record is from RefSeq and is a predicted model, not a curated record. The transcript is spliced from 3 exons. NCBI's taxonomy places the organism in Eukaryota, Metazoa, Echinodermata, Echinoidea, Camarodonta, Strongylocentrotidae.